GAGAUGACAGAUGCCCUCACCAACAGGAACGCAGACCCUGUGAAGUUUACUGCGUCUAAGGCCCUGUGGAGCUCAGGAAUCAUCCGAACAGACCCACGGAUUAAAGACUGCUACAGCCUGAUGCGGAAAUUACAGGAAGCAGAUGGAACUGUUGACAGGAGCACUUUUCACAGGCCAGACAGAAUUUUGAUACCAAUAGUCAAAUUUAAAGCAUCUUAAAUAUAAAUACUAAACACGCCUAAUCUAUUAUGCUGCUAAUAUACUUCAUUUGUGAACAUCUUGCAGGUGCGUGACUGGCUUUGUGUCUUUCAUCCUGAAGGCAUUGCAGGGAAGAUUUGUCAUUCCAGAUUUCUCUACAUUCACAGAG
RNAcentral lists this long non-coding RNA (367 nucleotides) under Sinocyclocheilus grahami. RNAcentral's name for it is "lncRNA (ENSSGRG00000027930.1)". The record is from RNAcentral. Lineage: Eukaryota; Metazoa; Chordata; Actinopteri; Cypriniformes; Cyprinidae.